GAUGAACGCUGACGGCGUGCCUAAUACAUGCAAGUCGAGCGAACGGACGAGAAGCUUGCUUCUCUGAUGUUAGCGGCGGACGGGUGAGUAACACGUGGAUAACCUACCUAUAAGACUGGGAUAACUUCGGGAAACCGGAGCUAAUACCGGAUAAUAUUUUGAACCGCACGGUUCAAAAGUGAAAGACGGUCUUGCUGUCACUUAUAGAUGGAUCCGCGCUGCAUUAGCUAGUUGGUAAGGUAACGGCUUACCAAGGCAACGAUGCAUAGCCGAGCUGAGAGGGUGAUCGGCCACACUGGAACUGAGACACGGUCCAGACUCCUACGGGAGGCAGCAGUAGGGAAUCUUCCGCAAUGGGCGAAAGCCUGACGGAGCAACGCCGCGUGAGUGAUGAAGGUCUUCGGAUCGUAAAACUCUGUUAUUAGGGAAGAACAUAUGUGUAAGUAACUGUGCACAUCUUGACGGUACCUAAUCAGAAAGCCACGGCUAACUACGUG
Molecule: ribosomal RNA, 497 nt
Filed under: uncultured bacterium
Lineage: Bacteria
Description: partial 16S ribosomal RNA
Rfam family: Bacterial small subunit ribosomal RNA
Source: RNAcentral